CCCCUCUCAGGGUUGCAUCUGGAGAGUUUCCAGUACUCUACCAGUCUCGGCUAUGGGAAGGAGAGUCAAUCACAGGCAUACCAAUUUCAUUCCUAGCUUGGCCAGUGGUUAGCAAGUGGAAGGCAAUCUGCUACAAGU
RNAcentral lists this small nucleolar RNA (138 nucleotides) under Ornithorhynchus anatinus (platypus). The record is from RNAcentral. Lineage: Eukaryota; Metazoa; Chordata; Mammalia; Monotremata; Ornithorhynchidae.